RNAcentral lists this transfer RNA (77 nucleotides) under Nippostrongylus brasiliensis. It matches the Rfam family "tRNA". From Rfam's summary of the family: Transfer RNA (tRNA) molecules are approximately 80 nucleotides in length. Their secondary structure includes four short double-helical elements and three loops (D, anti-codon, and T loops). Further hydrogen bonds mediate the characteristic L-shaped molecular structure. tRNAs have two regions of fundamental functional importance: the anti-codon, which is responsible for specific mRNA codon recognition, and the 3' end, to which the tRNAs corresponding amino acid is attached (by aminoacyl-tRNA synthetases). tRNAs cope with the degeneracy of the genetic code in two manners: having more than one tRNA (with a specific anti-codon) for a particular amino acid; and 'wobble' base-pairing, i.e. permitting non-standard base-pairing at the 3rd anti-codon position. The record is from Rfam by way of RNAcentral. Lineage: Eukaryota; Metazoa; Nematoda; Chromadorea; Rhabditida; Heligmosomidae.
GGCUCGGUGGUGUAGUCGUCUUACACCGCGGUGCCCCGGGUGGGCCGGAGACGCGGGUUCGAAUCCUGCCUGAGCCG